RNAcentral lists this ribosomal RNA (301 nucleotides) under uncultured bacterium. RNAcentral's name for it is "partial 16S ribosomal RNA". It matches the Rfam family "Bacterial small subunit ribosomal RNA", at positions 509 to 808 of the family's 1533-position model. The record is from RNAcentral.
CAGUAGCCGCGGUAAUACGGAGGGUGCAAGCGUUAAUCGGAAUUACUGGGCGUAAAGCGCACGCAGGCGGUCUGUCAAGUCAGAUGUGAAAUCCCCGGGCUUAACCUGGGAACUGCAUUUGAAACUGGCAGGCUAGAGUCUUGUAGAGGGGGGUAGAAUUCCAGGUGUAGCGGUGAAAUGCGUAGAGAUCUGGAGGAAUACCGGUGGCGAAGGCGGCCCCCUGGACAAAGACUGACGCUCAGGUGCGAAAGCGUGGGGAGCAAACAGGAUUAGAUACCCAGUAGUCCCUGUCUCUUAUACA